UUUCUAAAAUACCCUAAUAAGUCGAAAAUUAUCGUAGAAACCCCUAUAAAAUUAUUUCUAGUUGGGAAAAGAAGGAGAGGGAGCUUUCAAGCAUGGGGAUGAUGGAAGCUCGCAAAAUCUUGGCCAAAUUCACCGUAGCGAAUCCGGAAAGAUGGAAACAAAAUCAAAACUCCGUACAAAUUGCUUGGCGCCCUGAUUUCAAUACUCUCAUUUAAUCUUAUCCGUCGAUCAUGGUUCGUCUACUCCAAGAAUCAAUCACAACCGCUCAUAUGAAUUUGAUCAGUGGUCCUGAUUUAAGAUCCUUGCUUUCCUAUUUUAUACAAAAGAGCCCAAACCCCUUAUUUUUUCUUCUUUCUCCUCCUUUCCUCUCCUAAUCCGCCGCCCAGCUCAAUUUUCCCUCCUCUCCGUCCUUCUUUCCGACAGAGCAUCUUGGAGAACGAGCAGAGAACAACGCCAUCCAGCAGAAGCCAUGAAACAAGCAGUUGGACAACAGUGGAGAGCUCAAAAAAGCACACGAAGGCCACCAUCGAGCCUCCAUUGACGGAAACAGCUUUAGUCCGCGAGCAACCAGGCGGUCUUCUUCCGCAACAACAACAUCAAUGAGAUGGCGCCACCAGUUGUCUCUCUCUCCGGCUAAAAUUACAACAACAUCAGCUCUACGCAGUGUGCAGUGAAAGUGAGCACCGACAGCAGCCAGAAAUAUGACGAAAUAUCACGGAAAAAACUAGUGUCACAAAUUGAUAUUGAUUAAUGUGAAGCAUAUUAUCAAGUUGUGGGGGAGAAAAGAAGAGAAGACUAUACGGUUUUUGUUUUGAAGCAAAAAUUUAAUACGGUAGAUGUUUUUUGCCUUAUCAUCAGUCCACCCUUAGUGCCUCCUUCAGCUACUUAUGAGGACGAGGUUCUUCUUUCAGCUAUUACUUAUGAGGGCAAUGUUGAUCCUUAGUUUCACGUGACAACUGUAUUCCUUUUUUAUUGUAAUAAUAUUUGAUGAAUGUAGGUUCUUUUAAGUACAAUUGAUAUAUUAUUUUGGAUUUUUUGAAUCGGGAAAACGCA
Solanum pennellii is the source of this 1053-nucleotide long non-coding RNA. RefSeq lists it as uncharacterized. Lineage: Eukaryota; Viridiplantae; Streptophyta; Magnoliopsida; Solanales; Solanaceae. The record is from RefSeq and is a predicted model, not a curated record. The transcript is spliced from 3 exons.